This 171-nucleotide ribosomal RNA is filed under the name uncultured bacterium. Its description in RNAcentral is "partial 16S ribosomal RNA". The record is from RNAcentral.
CACGCCCUAAACGAUGUCAACUAGUUGUUGGGGAUUCAUUUCCUUAGUAACGUAGCUAACGCGUGAAGUUGACCGCCUGGGGAGUNACGCGAAAAACCUUACCUACCCUUGACAUGGUCGGAAUCCCGCUGAGAGGUGGGAGUGCUCGAAAGAGAACCGGCGCACAGGUGC